Molecule: ribosomal RNA, 502 nt
Filed under: uncultured bacterium
Lineage: Bacteria
Description: partial 16S ribosomal RNA
Rfam family: Bacterial small subunit ribosomal RNA
Source: RNAcentral
AUUGAACGCUGGCGGAAUGCUUUACACAUGCAAGUCGAACGGCAGCACGGGUGCUUGCACCUGGUGGCGAGUGGCGAACGGGUGAGUAAUACAUCGGAACGUACCCAGUCGUGGGGGAUAACGUAGCGAAAGUUACGCUAAUACCGCAUACGUCCUGAGGGAGAAAGCGGGGGACCGUAAGGCUUCGCGCGGUGGGAGCGGCCGAUGGCGGAUUGGCUAGUUGGUGGGGUAAAGGCCUACCAAGGCGACGAUCCGUAGCGGGUCUGAGAGGACGGCCCGCCACAUUGGAACUGAGACACGGUCCAGACUCCUACGGGAGGCAGCAGUGGGGAAUUUUGGACAAUGGGCGAAAGCCUGAUCCAGCCAUUCCGCGUGAGUGAAGAAGGCCUUCGGGUUGUAAAGCUCUUUCGGCAGGGAAGAAACGGCUUGGGAUAAUACCCCGGGCUAAUGACGGUACCUGAAGAAGAAGCACCGGCUAACUACGUGCCAGCAGCCGCGGUAA